UACGGGGGGAGCAAGCGUUGUUCGGAUUUACUGGGCGUAAAGGGCUCGUAGGCGGCCAACUAAGUCAGACGUGAAAUCCCUCGGCUUAACCGGGGAACUGCGUCUGAUACUGGAUGGCUUGGAUUUGGGAGAGGGAUGCGGAAUUCCAGGUGUAGCGGUGAAAUGCGUAGAUAUCUGGAGGAACACCGGUGGCGAAGGCGGCAUCCUGGACCAAUAUUGACGCUGAGGAGCGAAAGCUAGGGGAGCAAACGGG
RNAcentral lists this ribosomal RNA (253 nucleotides) under uncultured bacterium. RNAcentral describes it as "partial 16S ribosomal RNA". It matches the Rfam family "Bacterial small subunit ribosomal RNA", at positions 524 to 776 of the family's 1533-position model. The record is from RNAcentral.